CACCGUGGUAGUCGAUCAGUUGGCGGUACGCAGGCGGAUCAGAGCGGGACCCUUAAAAAUAAAAACACCUCACCGUGUGCUCGUGUCAGCUCCGGGGUAUCACUUUAACCUUAAAUUGGGGGGCGUAUAUCUAAUUUUUAAGUAUGAGUACAUUGAUAGUAUGUUUAAAGCGGUUUAUGCUAGCUAGGUUGAUGCGCGGUGGGGGUUUGCUUUCGGUUCUCCUUGGUGCAAACUAACGUUUAUCAUUUCGCGAUGGUCGUUAACGUUAGCUCUUGAUUAGCUAACACACCUUUUUGUAAUAUCACGUAAUCUCCGUUACAGUAACUCUCUUCGCUAUUAAACGUUAGCUGGUGAAAAAAAGAGGACCAAAAUAACAGAAAAUGCCUCACAAGAAGCAACAGCUGAGGCCGACAGCAGCCAACGUCUCCAGCUCCCUGGACCUGGAGUCGGAGGACAUCAGCCUAGAAACAACCGUGCCCACCACCGAGGAUAUCUCCUCGUCCGACGAGCAGCGGGACGGCUCCCAGAAGGUGACCCGCCAGCUGAUCGAGAGGAAGGAGCUGCUGCACAACGUCCAGCUCCUGAAAAUUGAGCUUUCUCAGAAGAACCUGACCAUAGACAACAUGAAGGCCGACAGCAUGUCCAAGGUUGAGGAGCUGGAGGAGAGAUUGAAUGAUGCUCUACAUCAGAAACAAGUUUUGGCCCUGAGGCUGGACAGCCAGCUGAAACUUACUCAAGAGGAGAACAGGAAGCAGCAGGUUCUGCGUAAGCAAGAGAUGGAGGCUAUCCUGCUCAGGCAGCAGCAGCUAGAGGAGACCAACCGGCAGCUGUGUGAGAAAGGUGGAGAGCUGCGGAGGUCUCUCAGGGAUCUGGACAUCUCUCAGGACAGGUACCAGGAGCUCCGCGACCUCCCUGAAGACAAAAUCUCCAUUCAGGAAUACGUAGCUAUGCGUUUCUACGAGGUGGUGACUCCUCUGCGGGCUCAGCUGGCUGAGCUCGGUGUGAAGAGAGACAGUUUGACUGAUGACCUGAAUACACACAGAACCCAAUUGAAGGCUCUGAUGGAGAGCUACGAGGAGGAGCGGCGGCUACGUACUGAGCUGGAGUUAAGGAGCCAGAGACUGACACUAGAACUGGCCGAUACCAAACAGCAAAUCCAAGAAGGAGAUUAUCGCCGGGAAAACUACCCUGCCAUCAAACGUGAGCGUGACAACUUUGAGGCAGAACUAAAGGACUUAAAGAGAAGAUUUGAGACGCUAGACUUGACUCACACAGCAGUGGCCAGAGAAAGAAACACACUCAGCAAAGAGGUGGCAGCAUUGCAGCAGUCAGUGACUCUCCUGCAGAAGGACAAGGAGUAUCUGCACAGGCAGAACAUGGAGCUCAGUGUCCGCUGUGCACACGGAGAAGACCGCCUGGAGAGGCUGCAGGUGCAAUUAGAAGACACUAAGAAGGCGAGGGAGGACGCCUAUGAAAAAUAUAUGGCAUCCAGAGACCGCUAUAAGUCUGAGUAUGAGACCAAGCUGAGAGAGGAGCUGGAGAACAUCAGACUGAAAACCAGUCAGGAGAUAGACAAUCUGCAGAGAACCUCCAGGGAGAUGUACGAGAGGGAGAACAGGAACUUGCGUGAGGCCAGAGACAACGCAGUGGUGGAGAAGGACAGAGCAUUGGCUUCUGACAGAGACACUCAGUCCAGAUAUGACCAAUUGCUGGAACAGUUCCGUCGGCUCCAGCUUGGUACUGACAGCCGGGUAUCAGAACUGUCCAAUCAGGCCAAGCUGCACUCCUUCGAAGCUGAGCGCGCUGAGAUGGUCAAGGAUGAGACGGCGAAGGCCCUGGCCCAGUGCCAGGUGGAGUGUGAGAAACAACAGAAGAAACUGGAGCUCCUGACCCAGGAGUUUUACAGACUGCAGACGUCAUCAGAGAAGCGGUUGGCGGAGCUGCAAGCCCAGAAUGCCGAGCAGGCAUCUCGGCUGGAGACGUACGAAAAGCUUGAGCAGGAGUUGGACCAAGUCACCAUGCAGGCGGCUGAGAUUGAGAAUGAAGAGGAGGCCGAGAGAGUGCUGUUCUCGUACGGCUACGGCGCCAAUGUUCCCACAACGGCUAAAAGAAGACUAAAACAGAGCGUUCACCUGGCCCGCAGGGUGCUGCAGCUCGAGAGGCAGAACACGUCUCUGAGGAGAGAGCUGGAGAGACACAAGUCACAGACGGGACAGAUAUCUGAAGAGCAUCACGCGACACUCUGCUGUGAACGUCCGUGCACAUCUAACCUAAGUCUUGAAGGCCGACGCUGCACAACAAGACAAAACAAGCUUGUGAGUUGUUGGCAGCCAACCAGCUGUUGCAGCAGACACAACAGCCCUAUAGCUACCUGAUUGACACGGUGAGACAGAAGGAUUCACAGAUCAUCGCGAUGAAGGAGCGUCUCGACUCGCUUGAGGACGACGUCAGUUCUCUGAGGAAAGAACGGACUGCACUGCAACAGGUGAAAAACAACAUGGCCGCAGAUCUGGAGAGACUCCUCAACCACCGAGAGGAGUUAGCGGUGAUGAAGCAGGUCCUGAUCAGCAUGCGGUCCGGACAGGGAGACGCUCUAAACCUGUUGGAAGCGGAUAAAACUGCUGUGAGCACCUCUGGCGCAGGAAAACACCAGUCCAAACAAAUCAACAGGACCACAGAAGAAGAGUCACCAAACAAACCCAAACCCACUGUGUUUACUAAUAAAGAAGUUCCUGAUUGGUACAAAAAGACAAAGCAGAAACCCAAAUGAACAUUAAUGUCUGUUACUAUUGGUGCUAUUGUCACUCAUGGCUUCAACAAUCGUAUUAUUAUUUUUCUUUUGAAAUACAAAAGCAGAAAUUAUUACUAGUGUCCGAGUGUUUUGUUGUUCUUAUCCUUGGUUACAUAUUGUUCUGAGAGGAUAAAUUCCCUGCGUACUGGUCCACAACCAGAAGGUAUUGCCUUCCACAGGGUACACAUUCCUAGCUAACUGACUGCCCAAACAUUCCUCUUUCUUGGCAGUGGUUUAUUUUAUUAGGUCUGUCUAUCAUUAUUUUCUCAUCUUUUCCAGGUUUGCAGCUACUGGUGGCUACAGACAAACAGCAUUGCAGGAACAUUAGCCGAGCGGAGGCUCCUUUGGCUUUAAAUAUAGACAUAGUAGGCAUACCGUUAUCAUUUCAGACAUGUUCUUAUCGGUGUCGUAUUAAACUCGGACCAGAGGACUGCUUUAAAGCAGUUUUAUGCCCUUUUGUAAGCCUACAAUCCUCCACAAUAUACCAC
This is an RNA transcript of Cyclopterus lumpus (lumpfish), 3279 nucleotides long. It is a transcript of the gene named progesterone immunomodulatory binding factor 1, with no coding region annotated. The transcript has 19 exons. The record is from RefSeq and is a predicted model, not a curated record. NCBI's taxonomy places the organism in Eukaryota, Metazoa, Chordata, Actinopteri, Perciformes, Cyclopteridae.